This is a long non-coding RNA of Xenopus tropicalis (tropical clawed frog), 389 nucleotides long. RefSeq lists it as uncharacterized. The transcript is spliced from 2 exons. Lineage: Eukaryota; Metazoa; Chordata; Amphibia; Anura; Pipidae. The record is from RefSeq and is a predicted model, not a curated record.
CUGCUCCCGCGACUGACUUCUGACCUCUGCGACUCGCCGCGGAGUAAAGGGUGCGUCCCAGAUUUCACAAGCGUGCUUCAGCUACAAGGAGUGAGAAAUGAAGGAAUCACAGAGGCUAUAGUUGUGUUGCAGAGAGCAGCUUUGAGCAGCUGGCUACAGGUUCACAUAUCAUGGGCAGGCUGAAAACAAAAGAUCUUCUUACAGGCUGAAGUCUAUGCGCAGAUCAUUCACGUUAAGCUGCAAGCUAAUGUGUUGUGCACAAAAUGAAUAAAGGGGAUCUGCAUACAGCCUGACAUCAGCAUUCAUUUCUCUAUUUUAUCUGGGUCAACCAGAAAGGCUCCAAACUGACUCUGUGGUCUAAAGGAGAAUAAAAUAUUUGCUUUAAAAAA